RNAcentral lists this ribosomal RNA (470 nucleotides) under uncultured Bifidobacterium sp. RNAcentral describes it as "bacterial SSU rRNA". It matches the Rfam family "Bacterial small subunit ribosomal RNA", at positions 204 to 684 of the family's 1533-position model. Lineage: Bacteria; Bacillati; Actinomycetota; Actinomycetes; Bifidobacteriales; Bifidobacteriaceae. The record is from RNAcentral.
AAGCCUUUGCGGCAUGGGAUGGGGUCGCGUCCUAUCAGCUUGAUGGCGGGGUAACGGCCCACCAUGGCUUCGACGGGUAGCCGGCCUGAGAGGGCGACCGGCCACAUUGGGACUGAGAUACGGCCCAGACUCCUACGGGAGGCAGCAGUGGGGAAUAUUGCACAAUGGGCGCAAGCCUGAUGCAGCGACGCCGCGUGAGGGAUGGAGGCCUUCGGGUUGUAAACCUCUUUUGUUAGGGAGCAAGGCACUUUGUGUUGAGUGUACCUUUCGAAUAAGCACCGGCUAACUACGUGCCAGCAGCCGCGGUAAUACGUAGGGUGCAAGCGUUAUCCGGAAUUAUUGGGCGUAAAGGGCUCGUAGGCGGUUCGUCGCGUCCGGUGUGAAAGUCCAUCGCUUAACGGUGGAUCCGCGCCGGGUACGGGCGGGCUUGAGUGCGGUAGGGGAGACUGGAAUUCCCGGUGUAACGGUGG